Molecule: ribosomal RNA, 2176 nt
Filed under: Cladia gorgonea
Lineage: Eukaryota; Fungi; Ascomycota; Lecanoromycetes; Lecanorales; Cladoniaceae
Description: partial small subunit ribosomal RNA
Rfam family: Eukaryotic small subunit ribosomal RNA (bases 1-1229)
Source: RNAcentral
AUACAUUAUCGUGAACUGCGAAUGGCUCAUUAAAUCAGUUAUCGUUUAUUUGAUAGUACCUUACUACUUGGAUACCUGUGGUAAUUCUAGAGCUAAUACAUGCUAAAAACCUCGACUUCGGAAGGGGUGUAUUUAUUAGAUAAAAAACCAAUGCCCUUCGGGGCUCCUUGGUGAUUCAUAAUAACUCAACGAAUCGCAUGGCCUUGCGCCGGCGAUGGUUCAUUCAAAUUUCUGCCCUAUCAACUUUCGAUGGUAGUAUAGAGGACUACCAUGGUUUCUACGGGUAACGGGGAAUUAGGGUUCUAUUCCGGAGAGGGAGCCUGAGAAACGGCUACCACAUCCAAGGAAGGCAGCAGGCGCGCAAAUUACCCAAUCCCGACACGGGGAGGUAGUGACAAUACAUACUGAUCCAGGGCUCUUUUGGGUCUUGGAAUUGGAAUGAGUACAAUUUAAAUCCCUUAACGAGGAACAAUUGGAGGGCAAGUCUGGUGGACACUUAGUGUUCCAGCAAUAAAGGUUUCACAACCUGCUGCUGACGCCAGUCACAGAUUGCAUCUUGGGGUCCAGGAGAAUGGGCCCUUGAUGUAAUUUAGUGGGCUUUCGCCCGCAAGGUAUCCGGCUCGGGGAAUGGCUCUGUGAGCCUUAUCCCGUGGCUGUGAGCGAAUCCGCUCCAGCCUUAACGCGCGCUAGGACGCCGGUGGUCUCCUGUGGAGACUAUCUAAGGUACGUGCUAAUCCCGCCUGUAAAGGGUCUGCGACACUGAUCUUCAAGUGUCGCGCAGGGAGAAAAGGCGCCCUUUGGGGCACCUUUUGUUUUAUGGCCAGCAGCCGCGGUAAUUCCAGCUCCAAUAGCGUAUAUUAAAGUUGUUGCAGUUAAAAAGCUCGUAGUUGAAACUUGGGUCUGGCUGACCGGUCCGCCUCACCGCGUGCACUGGCUUGGCCGGACCUUUCCUUCUGGGGAACCGCAUGGCCUUCAUUGGUCGUGUUGGGGAUCCAGGACUUUUACUUUGAAAAAAUUAGAGUGUUCAAAGCAGGCCUAUGCUCGAAUACAUUAGCAUGGAAUAAUAGAAUAGGACGUGUGGUUCUAUUUUGUUGGUUUCUAGGACCGCCGUAAUGAUAAAUAACGAAAAGGUUUCAACCAUUACGGAGGAAGGGAGGAAAGCCCCUGGGUGCAGCCCCCCUCCCCCGGAAAGGUUUGUUUUUGAGGCGAUAUAGAGUCUCAGGUCAUGCGAGCAGCUGUCACCAUACUGGCAACCUCUAUCUAUAUCGCCCAUCCACUUUCCUUGAAGUCGUGUUGUUGUUUGAAGAAGAAAUGCAAAUAGGAAGAACCUUUUGUAGAGGUUUGAAGCUCACUAGCGCGCCCUGACGCCCGUUGGCCGCACAUUCACAUACAACACAUCACUUCGUUCCUUCACCUUUCCCAGAGCAUGACAUUGGUACUAUUGAGACUGAUCUUCGAGAAGACCUCUACUUGAGCUUUAAUCCAUCGGAUAAUGAAAUUCAUCUGAUUUACGGGAGCCUGCGGCUUAAUUUGACUCAACACGGGGAAACUCACCAGGUUAACCACAGAAGUUAUAGUCUGGGCCUGGUAAUACAAGACAUUCGCUCUUGUCAGUACUGCCUCAUUGGGCGGUGCAACACAUGCUGGCACAGGGAACCUUACUCCAAUGGAGUGAUCGAUCCUGUGGUGAGCCCGAGUCAUUCGGACCGCCGCAACGCGCGCCACGCAGUGGGCUACUCCGCCUCGGAGUAACUUUGAUAUACGUGCUAAACCCAAGCGAGAGCUUGCUCCUGGGACUUCGCAGAAGUUUAGGAGGGCCUUAGAAUGUUGUUGCAUCCAAAGGUUGGAAAAUGCCAGACACAAUAAGGAUUGACAGAUUGAGAGCUCUUUCUUGAUUUUGUGGGUGGUGGUAGAACAACUCAUGUGCCACCUACAGCUGUUGUUAUAAGCUAGUCCGUUGGAUCGGGCGACAUUCUCCAAGUGCUGGAAGCCUUCUCUGUAGAGAGGUAUCAGCAGCCUCGUACUCCUCGCGGAGAUACGCUGGCACACAGACUACGUGAGAGUGGACCAAAGCUUGCAGGUUAAGAUCUCCUGGGAGAGGUUGACCUUGAAGAAAGUGCUUGGUCAUAAGAUAUAGUCGAACCCGAAGCUUCAAGGCUUUCGGUAUCCAGUGGCA